UAACCGUCCCCCUUUUGGGAGGCCAGGGCAAGGGUAAAUGUUCAUGGAGGUCAGCCGUCCAGACUGAGCCUGGGGCCUGUCCAAGGAGACAGAGUUCAGUUGAUGUUGGAUGUUCAGUGCCUGGCGUCAGCAGAUGAGGAGGGUAGUAAUGAAAUCUUCCCACUCAGGUGGUUCAAACAGAAAUGGAAGCACCGUUACUUAGAUCAACAACCACACCUCCCUUUGUGAGGACGUCUCCGGAACCAGACAACUUGGGUUCGCCGCUUAGUAAUUGUGUGAUCACGGGCCAGUGUGCCUCAGUUCCCUCACAUCUAUAAAAUGAGAAUAAGAAUAGUUCUUACCACAUAGGAUUCCUGUGCGGUGAAAUGAGUAAUAUGUCUCAAGAACUGAAAGCUGUCUUGCACACGGCUGGUCCUCCCCAGAUGCUGUUGGGUCUCUCUGCCCAACCCCAACGGCAGCCAUUUACCGAGAAUUUGCCUCGUGGCAGGUUCCCAUGGGACUCCAUUCUAGCCUUACAACAAGUCUGCGUGGUCACUGUGCUCAUCCCCAUUUCAUAGAGGAGGAAAGAGGCACAGGGAAGUCGUACCGUUUGCUCAGGGUCACACAUUCAUGGGUCAAAGCACCAGGGUUCUAACCUGGUUUUGUCCCACACAGAAAACUUGUGAACUUCACCACCACGUGGCCCCACGAUACACAUAAAAUUAAACAAAGCAAAAACAACCUUGUCAUUAGCAUACCGUUGCUCCCUGAGAAGGCUGUUAGGUUUUUCUCGGACUAGAAGCUCUGUUGUGGCUGUGAGUUUUUCCGACACCGUCUAGCACGGUGCUGUGGGCACAGGACACUUACCGGAGGCUUUCUGUUCCACCGUGACUGCCGUUGCUGAUAACACUCUAAGCCCGGGUCUCGGAUGUGGCCUCUAGUGCUGUCGGCAGGGACCCCGUGCACCAGCCUGUGUGGUACCGGAAGCCCGAUGAAGAAUGCAUCACGGUUCCUUUAAUGAAGAGAAUCUUGACAGGAAAAUCAACUUCCUGCUUGUGCCAAAGCUUUGAUGGGUGUGUGCGGCAUCAUAACAUCGUUCGUGCUGGCUAGACCAAGGCCACAUCCAAAGCCAGUGGUGUGCCCUGGGAGGCUAUCUUUUUUGUACUUCCUGCUAGAGUAAGACGAGGUGGGAUGAACGAGGGUGUGGUUGGUGAAGCUGAUGAUAAUAACUUCCCACUCCCGUUAGCCAGUGCUUGCUGUGGGCUAAGCGCUUAACAUCCAUUCCCUUAUUCAAUCCUUAGCACAACUCUUGAGAACCAAUCAACACUUCCAUUUUAUAGAAGAGGAAAUUGAAGCUCAGAGAGGUAAGAAAAUUUGCCUUGAGUCACACAGCUAAUAAAAAGGAAGUUUCAUCACCAUUACUGGUUUUAAACCCAGGUGUCAGGUGCCUUGGAUUCCAAUCCUGAUUUUGCCACUCUCUAGUUUCAUGACUUAGGAAGGACAGUCUUUUAAGCCUCUGGGUCUUCUUCUUAAGAUGAAGGGUCUGGGCUGGACGAUCCGGAAGUGCUCCGUUCAAUACGGUGGUCACUCGCCAGGCGUGGCUAUUAAGCGCUUGAUGCGGCGAGCCCGAAUUGAAAAGGUCUUGUCCCACGGGAAGGUAAACUCCAUAGGAAAAAGAAUUUGUAUCCAUUUUGUUUAGUGCUGUGCUCUCUGGGGCCUUGAAUGGAGCUUUGGGUAACAGACGCUCGAUGAAUAUUCCUUGAACGAAUGAAUGAAUGCAGCCUGCACUUAGAAAAACGUCUCUAUGGAGUAUAUAGAUUGUGAAGUCAUUGUACUCAUGGAGAGACAAGUUCUUUAACAGUUCUCAAACGUGUCAAGAGCUUCAUACACAUGAACACUAACAUGGACUUUUUCAAUGAAGCCACCCUUCGUGAAAACAGAGGCUUCUAGAGCAGUGUGGAUGCGGGGGGGGGGGGGGGUCAAGAGCACGCCUAUUCCGAGAGGCGCAAAAGCAGCCCAGUUCAAUGAAAGAGCAUGUGGAGUUUUAGAGAGAAAACAAUGUAAUUCCUCAAAAUGGCUAUUUUUGAGAGAAGUCUGUACUCUUCAUCACGUUGCUUCUGGAAAGUUUCUAGAGGCUUCUGGAUUUAGAAGGCUGGGCUCCAGAUACAAAUAACACAGGUCUGUCUGUCUUCUUCCCAGAGCCACCUUUUCUUGUUUUAGGAGGAAGGAAGUAUGCAUGUGACUCGUACUUCCUUCAGGCCCUGGAGAUUGUCCUCCAUCACUAUCCGGAUCAAAACUCUCCUGCCUGCUCUUAACACUGAAGGACUGAGUGAAUUCCAAGAGUGGCCUUGCCGAGUGAGUCAUAUCCCCAUUUCGUGUGAUUUGGACCUUAUUUAGCCAAGGACAUUUCAGCGUUUCUGGAUGAAUUAUUUAAGGAGGGGGCAAAGGAAGACUGAGAGGUAGAUCCUGAGAUUCAAGUUGGACUCUGUGGAAUUGAUUAGCAGCAACAAACCAGGCUUGGCACAUCCUGUACACAUACUAUGGUAGGGCCAGCAGUCCGUAAGUCUUGAGACAUAUUUUAAAAAUGGAGUUGGACAGAAAAAGUCAAAUCUUGUUACUGUCAAAAGACAGAGGGGGAAAAAAAUGAGACGAUUAGAGUUAAUUUGCAAUUAUUGGGACUAUUGGGUCUAUUUAUGGAAUCGAGGCAAUUCAAUCCUAGAAUGACUACUUCACCUGAUUUUAACACUUGCUAACAAGGUAUCCUGUCCUGAGUACAGGCACAAUAGUCUGAAAAGAUCCUGCUUUGUAAAUUCACAAAGGUCUGGAAAAUGUAUGCCCUCUUCCGAAGGUUGUCAACUCACCAAAGCUUUGGAAGGUGCAAUGGGAACUCACCACCAAUCAUCGUUAACUUUUUAAAAAUCUAUCUCCUGAUCUUCAUUUUAUUAUCAAUAUUUCUGUUGCGUAGGAAACCAGAUUAGACUAGCAAGAACAGUUUAAAGAGGCUAACUGACCCUCGGGUGUCCCUAAGAACCAUGAAGGAAGACAAGAAGGAUGAAAGGGAGGUUCAUUGCCUCCCUUGACCCAGUGUCUUUCUGCAAUGAUUUCUUGGUUUGUCUUACUUGCUUAUAUUGGUAAUGUAUAUGCUCUCCAGAUUGUCAGAGCCCAUGGCCAGUCCUCCAUAUCAUACUCCAUCCGUAGCAUGUGAGUGACAGCAUUCAACUUGCAAAGCUACCUUCGUCAGACCCGGAUACCCCUUUCUUCUGGUUAUUCAUUUACCUCACUAGCUGUUGCCUCCAAUCUCCUUUGCUGUUUCCUUGUCACUUCUGUAAGAUCCACCAGAUAGAAGGUCCGAGGAAUUAGUCUAAAUAUGUCACCUAUGUUGUAACUAAUCACUGCCAAGAUAACCUCACUCAUGGUUUGAACUAUCAUCUAUCUUCCAACAACUUCCAAAUUCACAUCUCAAGCCUAGACUAGUCCCUGAAUUCAGGUAAUAUGCAAUUUUUUAUUUGACACUUCUGCUUUGAGGUUGGAUAGGUAUCUCAAACUUAACAUACCCCCAAACAAGCUCCUGAUUUCCAUACUCCCUGAAAACAAAAUCUCUUUCUUGUAGUUUUCCCCACUUAGUUAAUGGGGAUCUCAUCUUUUUAGUUGUUUGGGGCUGAAAAACUUGGAUCCUUCCUUGAUGUUUUCUCUCAUAACCCACAUCUGACCCAUCAGCAAAUCAUGUUGGUUCUACCUGUAAAACAGACCUAGAAUCUGACUCCCUUUAAAUUUUUUAAAGUUUAUUUAUGUAUUUUGAGAGAGAGAAAGAGAGACCAAGCAGGGGAGAAGCAGAGAAGAGAGAGGGAGAGAGAGAGAAUCCCAAGCAGGCUCUGUGUCAUCAGCAAGGAGCCUGACGUGGGGCUCCAUCCCAUGAACUAUG
Long non-coding RNA from Acinonyx jubatus (cheetah), 3901 nucleotides. RefSeq lists it as uncharacterized. The record is from RefSeq and is a predicted model, not a curated record. Lineage: Eukaryota; Metazoa; Chordata; Mammalia; Carnivora; Felidae. The transcript is spliced from 3 exons.